This 29-nucleotide non-coding RNA is filed under the name Bombyx mori (domestic silkworm). Lineage: Eukaryota; Metazoa; Arthropoda; Insecta; Lepidoptera; Bombycidae. The record is from RNAcentral.
UAAACAGAACCGAACCCUAUGCCUACACU